Molecule: non-coding RNA, 46 nt
Filed under: Trypanosoma brucei brucei
Lineage: Eukaryota; Euglenozoa; Kinetoplastea; Trypanosomatida; Trypanosomatidae
Source: RNAcentral
AGACAAACAAUCUAAAUCUGAGACUGUAUAUGAUAUGUAUAAUUAU